RNAcentral lists this transfer RNA (73 nucleotides) under Acidobacteriota bacterium. Its description in RNAcentral is "Acidobacteria bacterium (soil metagenome) tRNA-Ile". It matches the Rfam family "tRNA". From Rfam's summary of the family: Transfer RNA (tRNA) molecules are approximately 80 nucleotides in length. Their secondary structure includes four short double-helical elements and three loops (D, anti-codon, and T loops). Further hydrogen bonds mediate the characteristic L-shaped molecular structure. tRNAs have two regions of fundamental functional importance: the anti-codon, which is responsible for specific mRNA codon recognition, and the 3' end, to which the tRNAs corresponding amino acid is attached (by aminoacyl-tRNA synthetases). tRNAs cope with the degeneracy of the genetic code in two manners: having more than one tRNA (with a specific anti-codon) for a particular amino acid; and 'wobble' base-pairing, i.e. permitting non-standard base-pairing at the 3rd anti-codon position. Lineage: Bacteria; Pseudomonadati; Acidobacteriota. The record is from RNAcentral.
CGCAAUGUAGCUCAAUGGCAGAGCAUCCGCUUGAUAAGCGGCAGACGAAAAGGUUCGAUUCCUUCCAUUGCGA